RNAcentral lists this transfer RNA (71 nucleotides) under Bacteroidales bacterium. RNAcentral's name for it is "tRNA-Cys". It matches the Rfam family "tRNA". From Rfam's summary of the family: Transfer RNA (tRNA) molecules are approximately 80 nucleotides in length. Their secondary structure includes four short double-helical elements and three loops (D, anti-codon, and T loops). Lineage: Bacteria; Pseudomonadati; Bacteroidota; Bacteroidia; Bacteroidales. The record is from RNAcentral.
GGUCGGUUUACCGAGUGGUUAGGUAGCGGUCUGCAAAACCGUUUACGGCGGUUCGAAUCCGCCACCGACCU